UGGGGAAUUGUUCGCAAUGGGCGCAAGCCUGACGACGCAACGCCGCGUGGAGGAUGAAGAUCUUCGGGUCGUAAACUCCUGUCGAGCGGGAAGAAUUGCUUCGAGGUGAAUAUCCUCGAAGUUUGACGGUACCGCUAAAGGAAGCCCCGGCUAACUCCGUGCCAGCAGCCGCGGUAAUACGGGGGGGGCAAGCGUUGUUCGGAAUUACUGGGCGUAAAGGGCUCGUAGGCGGCCGACUAAGUCAGACGUGAAAUCCCCAGGCUCAACCUGGGAACUGCGUCUGAUACUGGUUGGCUUGAAUUUGGGAGAGGGAUGCAGAAUUCCAGGUGUAGCGGUGAAAUGCGUAGAUAUCUGGAGGAAUACCGGUGGCGAAGGCGGCAUCCUGGACCAACAUUGACGCUGAGGAGCGAAAGCUAGGGGAGCAAACGGG
This 430-nucleotide ribosomal RNA is filed under the name uncultured bacterium. RNAcentral's name for it is "bacterial SSU rRNA". It matches the Rfam family "Bacterial small subunit ribosomal RNA", at positions 355 to 776 of the family's 1533-position model. The record is from RNAcentral.